This 301-nucleotide ribosomal RNA is filed under the name uncultured bacterium. RNAcentral's name for it is "partial 16S ribosomal RNA". It matches the Rfam family "Bacterial small subunit ribosomal RNA", at positions 509 to 807 of the family's 1533-position model. The record is from RNAcentral.
CAGUCGCCGCGGUAAUACGGAGGGUGCAAGCGUUAAUCGGAACUACUGGGCGUAAAGCGUGCGUAGGCGGUUCGUUAAGUCUGUUGUGAAAGCCCCGGGCUCAACCUGGGAACUGCAUUUGUGACUGCAUUGCUGGAGUGCGGCAGAGGGGGAUGGAAUUCCGCGUGUAGCAGUGAAAUUCGUAGAUAUUCGGAAGAACACCAGUGGCGAAGGCGGCUCACUGGCCCAUAACUGACGCUGAGGCACGAAAGCGUGGGGAGCAAACAGGAUUAGAUACCCGCGUAGUCCCUGUCUCUUAUAC